GCUGGGUGCAGAGGCACAUGCCUGUAGUCCCAGCUACUUGGGAGGCUGAGGCGGGAGGAUCGCUUGAGCCCAGGAGUUCUGGGCUGUAGCGCGCUAUGCCGAUCGGGUGUCCGCACUAAGUGCAGCAUCAGUAUGGUGACCUCCCGGGAGCGGGAGCAGCACCAGGUUGCCUAAGGAGGGCUGAACCCACCCAUGUCGGAAAUGGAGCAGGUCAAAACUCCCGUGCUGAUCGGUAGUGGUAUCUUGCCUGUGAAUAGCUACUUCACUUCAGCCUGGGUAACAUAGAGAGACCCUGUUUCU
Molecule: signal recognition particle RNA, 300 nt
Filed under: Saimiri boliviensis boliviensis (Bolivian squirrel monkey)
Lineage: Eukaryota; Metazoa; Chordata; Mammalia; Primates; Cebidae
Description: Metazoan signal recognition particle RNA (ENSSBOG00000010508.1)
Rfam family: Metazoan signal recognition particle RNA
About the family: The signal recognition particle (SRP) is a universally conserved ribonucleoprotein. It is involved in the co-translational targeting of proteins to membranes.
Source: RNAcentral